Molecule: ribosomal RNA, 460 nt
Filed under: uncultured bacterium
Lineage: Bacteria
Description: partial 16S ribosomal RNA
Rfam family: Bacterial small subunit ribosomal RNA
Source: RNAcentral
CCUACGGGCGGCAGCAGUGAGGAAUAUUGGUCAAUGGACGAGAGUCUGAACCAGCCAAGUAGCGUGAAGGAUGACUGCCCUAUGGGUUGUAAACUUCUUUUAUAUGGGAAUAAAAUGUUCCACGUGUGGGAUUUUGUAUGUACCAUAUGAAUAAGGAUCGGCUAACUCCGUUCCAGCAGCCGCGGUAAUACGGAGGAUCCGAGCGUUAUCCGGAUUUAUUGGGUUUAAAGGGAGCGUAGGUGGAUUGUUAAGUCAGUUGUGAAAGUUUGCGGCUUAACCGUAAAAUUGCAGUUGAAACUGGCAGUCUUGAGUACAGUAGAGGUGGGCGGAAUUCGUGGUGUAGCGGUGAAAUGCUUAGAUAUCACGAAGAACUCCGAUUGCGAAGGCAGUUCACUGGACUGCAACUGACACUGAGGCUCGAAAGUGUGGGUAUCAAACAGGAUUAGAUACCCCAGUAGUC